Long non-coding RNA from Rattus norvegicus (Norway rat), 748 nucleotides. RefSeq lists it as uncharacterized. The record is from RefSeq and is a predicted model, not a curated record. NCBI's taxonomy places the organism in Eukaryota, Metazoa, Chordata, Mammalia, Rodentia, Muridae.
GCUGGGUAGAGUGGGAAGUGGGAGGCAGUAGGGCUGCCCUAAAGGGUGGGGUCGUGGGCUAGCCUUGGCUGGCAUCUAGUUUUGUAACUGAUUACAUACACUGUGUGAAUCUGUCAGCACUGGAACCCACUCAGUUCGCCAGACCUAAUUAAUCCCUACUGUGAGUCCAGGAGCAGCUUGGAGCUGAGAGGAGUGAUGAGAACCCAUCCGCCCCCAGUAAACGGAUGACCUCAACCCUGGAGGACGCUGUCCAGGAAAAUCCCUCUUUUCCUUCUCCUCAUCCCCGAAUUGAAAAUAAGGGCAGAGACUCCUACUUGGGACUUCUUGAGAGGCGGCCGUUGCUGGACAAUAUGACCCUAGAAGGGCGAGAUCAACUGCCUCAGAUAGGAAAACUUUAUCUCUGAGGCUAUUGCAAACGUGCUCCAUCUGCUACUGUCCAGAUCCGAACUGGCAGCCAGAUAAACUGCUGUGUUUAUCAAGUCUAAACAAUUGUCAGAGUGCAAUUAGGCCGGGAGGCCACUGGCUCUGGAUAAGCAAUGCCUACAGAUGGACUUUGCUGAGGACCCAGUGCUGCUGCUGGGGACACCAUGCUAUCGCUACCCCCUAACACGCUCCGAGUCUCCUUUUUUCCCUGCCCUAAAUUUUAAAGGGGAUUUGAUGUCCUAACACAUUGGUUUUGGCGUUCUUUGCCCAUAGUGGGAAAUAAAACCCAGUAGCUUUUAUAGGUGGAUAAAUCCUUUUUAAAGGC